AACGAACGCUGGCGGCAUGCCUAACACAUGCAAGUCGAACGAGACCUUCGGGUUUAGUGUCGCACGGGUGCGUAACGGGUGGGAACCUGCCCUUAGGCUCGGAAAAAAUCCCCGGAAGGGGUGCCAAAACCGGAUAAUGUAUCCGGACCAAAGAUUUAUCGCCUUUGGAUGGGCCUGCGUUGGAUAAGCUAGUUGGUAGGGUAAAAGCCUAUCAAGGCGACGAUCCAUAGCUGGUCGGAGAGGAUGAUCACCCACACUGGGACUGAGACACGGCCGGGAAUCCUACGGGAGGCAGCAGAGGGGAAUAUUAGCCAAUGGGCGAAAGCCUGAUCCAGCAACGCCGCGUAAGGGAUGAAGGGCUGGAAGUUGUAAAGCUCGUUUACCAGGGAGGGUAAUGACAGUACCGGGAGGAUAAGCUCCGGCUAACUCCGUG
Molecule: ribosomal RNA, 433 nt
Filed under: uncultured bacterium
Lineage: Bacteria
Description: partial 16S ribosomal RNA
Rfam family: Bacterial small subunit ribosomal RNA
Source: RNAcentral